This 1012-nucleotide unclassified non-coding RNA is filed under the name Hevea brasiliensis (rubber tree). The record is from RNAcentral. Lineage: Eukaryota; Viridiplantae; Streptophyta; Magnoliopsida; Malpighiales; Euphorbiaceae.
GGGGAAUGACAAAAAAAUUGUUCUUUUCUCAUAUGAAACACUUGAAUUCAACCAUGCCAAAAGUCAUUUCAUAAUGAAUCUCAAAAAUUUUGUUUUUCAACACUUGCACCAACAAAAUUUCUUCAAUUUCAACCAACAUUUAGCAUAUAAAAAGCUCAUAAAUGCAAAUUGGAUGGCUCUAAUACCAAUUGAAAGCGCGAUUUGAGCAACGUAAGUUUAAAAUUGUAUUUUUGCCUAGGUUACAUGCAUUUCAUGCCAAACUAAUUUUUACUAAUUUGUUCAAAGCAGCAAGGUUCAACAUUUGUAACCACAACUAAUAUCUUGGCUAUUUUGCAAUUUAGAAAACUUAAAGGAACAUGCACUUAAAUUAAGUUUUAGGAUUUUACUCGAUGGGGCACUGAAUCACUAUUCAAUCACCUAAUCUGAGUAGCUAGGCCUCCAAAUGUAUCCCUCUAGUCUGUUCACGCAAACUCAACAAUCAAGACGAUCCAACCCUUGAACCGCAAUCCCCUUAAAGUUCUCUCUCUUUCGUCAAUCGAUUUGCACAAAAGGGUUUUACUAGGGCAAUUGAAGAAACAAUUCUUUCAAUUUCUAAUUCAAGAGUUACAUCUUCUAAUGUCUCUUGAAUUGAGUUAACAAGAAGAGCUUGAAGGUGUUAAUAAUGGAGUCUAGUUGAGAGAAGGGAAGAAGAUGAAUAUGAAACACUAAAGUAUCUCUAAACUUGCAUUGGGUUUCUUUUCAUAUUUUAUGGAUUCCCAUAUCCCUAAAGUGGUUGGAAAUCUCCAAGUUUUAGAGAUUUCAAAUCCAUAACUAAGUGAGUAGAGGAGGAAUCUUCUCCUUUUUGGAGACACUUUACCACCUGUCACACACAUCAUAUUUUGUCUCCCACUGACAUGACUCAUGACAUCAUGUGUCAAAAGACUUUAAAACCCACUCAAGUAUCUUCUUUUUCACUAUGACAUGCCUCUUGCUACAUUUUCCUUGAUGUAACAUGCUCCAUGCAACAUUUGCC